UCGGCGUCAGCUCCCUGGCCGGGGCCGCCAGCGCCCGCGGCUCGGCGCGCUCCGCAAGCUUUAGCUCUCGCUCCCCCGUCCGACCGCUCGGGCGCCCUGCAGUCUCGCCGGGUGCCGCUGCGCGCCCCGACUCCUUCCCCGCCCAGGCCCGUUCCCGGAGCCCGGGAACUGCCGAGCGAGCUCAGGGAUCGCUCCCUGAGUCUUGGUGUCGGACACCGUCCGCCUCCACUCCUAUCCUGGCAACGCAGUGGCGAAAUACAGGGCACAAGAGACCUUUAGUGGCGCUCCGUCUUGCUUCCUGGUGACCCAGACUUUGGUCAGGAGAGUGCCACAGCCCAACGGGGCUGGGGACAGCAGGCGUGGAGCAUGCCUUGGCAUUUCCCGUCAACCCUACUCCUCCACCAUCGGAGCUGGAAAUGACUCCCACCAGUCUCAGCUUUGGCUGCUAGAGAAGAUAAAAAGGGCAUAGCACCGAAAAGCAGAAAGGUGGUGGGUGAUCAGUACCCACAUACAGGAAGGUGGCCAUUCGGUCUAGGACCUUCACUGAGUGAAGGAACUGCUGGAGGCGGCGGGAGAUGGUUAAAUGAAUUCUUAUUCCACAACUAUCUAGAAGUAAAAAUUACUAUAAAUUGAAUGAUGAAAACUUCAGGUCAUUCCUUUCAAAGUCGUUUCCAGUGUUGCAGGGAGAAAAAACGCAACCCACAGCCACAACAAUAAAUGAGGUAUGAGAUUUAAUUCUGGAUAUUACAGGGAGGCUUAAUGAAGCAGAGAAGUGGAUUUCCGGAGAAGAAGAGAUUAAAGUCUGGAAAAGAAGUAUACUUGUCUGGAGAUUAAAAAAUAAACAACUUUGAACGGUCAAGGAACCUGGAAACCUAGCUCAUAAAGGUAACAUCUGUGCCCUUAAACUAACUUAAGAAGUGAUAACGGAAAUUUUGACCUUUUCUUCUGAAAUCAUGCAAAAUAUGCAACGAAGACACCCUGGCCUGGGUUCCCCCCAACAGCAGAGCCUGAGACAAGGUUUAUGCAAACAUCAAAUGUGGCAUCCCACAUGGCAGCAGCGGAAAGGCACUGGGGUAGAAGAUGAGUGAUAAUGAGGUUACCCCGGAAUGCAGUUGGUUGGCUGCCAUGCAAAGCAGAAUGAACAUGAUGGCCGAGGGAGGCUUCGCCUGUACCACUGUUUGGAAUGUCCCGUUCUGUGUUAUCCUGGAAGUUUUUACACCAUAAUUCAGUUCACAGUGUGUGAGAGGUUGGUUUCCAACUCCUGGCCUCAAGUGAUCCUCCUGCCUCAGCCUCCAAAGCGUUAUGAUUGCAGACAUGAGCCACUGUGCCCAGCUGAGGUUAUUUUCUAUGUAAAUCUUGAUGUUCUGGAAUUGGUGUUCUGUUUUUCCUCUGUUAAUGUAUGUUUGGAGGUGGUGAUUAAAUCUACGAUUCCAUCCAUAAUGUGAAAAACUGAGGUAGAGCUACAAGAGGAGAAGACUACUUGGAGAAAAAUACCUUCAUGGCAUCACCUCAGGACAGAAUAGCUGCUGUGAUCUUGGAUUGUUGGGUAGAAGUAAAAGUAAUUAUGAUUUUAAUGUGGAUACUCUAAAUAUGUCAGAGAACCUGCUGGACUCACUGCUGCUGGUUGGAGCAGCUCAAUAGGAGACACAUCUCUCUCCUCGACCAUUCCCCACGUGGCUACCUAAACCAUUUCCCUUGUGGCUACCAGGCACGGACUCUCAGCCAAGACCAGCUGAUGCCAUGGAUGACCGAUGCCAAGUCAGCAUCCCUGUUGAGAACUGCAGUGAAGGAAAGGAGAGAGCACUGUUGAUGGUUGGUUCUGAACCCUUGAGCUAUAAGUUCAUGCAGACCUAGGGACUGAGGGAACAAAUAAUGGGUCAUCCACAGGAAAGGAAACCUGAAGGAGAAAGAAAAAUGACAAUGUUAAGAAAUGAUGAAGAGAUAGUAAUGGUGCUAAAGAUGGUGAAGAGAGUGCAGAGAUAACAUUGGAGAAAGAGAUGAUGACAAAGACUAGACAGAAGAAAAGACUUUCCAGAGAGAUUGAGAGCGCUUUGUGCCUCACGUUUCAAUUCCCAUCUCCUACCCCCAGGAGACACAUAUUUGACUUUGGAGCCCAUCUAAAAUAACAGAUACCGCCUCUGCUCUCUACAGGCUUACAAUAUUAAAGAAACAGCACUCAGAUGAACCAUCAUAUACAGAAGAUUGAGACAUUAAAUGCAGAAGGGUAAGUAUACACAAAGCAUAAUACAUUGGAAAUAAUAGUCCAUUUUACUUGUUGCCCUUAGAAAGCAUGAGAUUGUCUCACAUUCUCUGAACAGACCCCUCUUGCUUUCUUGAACUGGCAUGAGAGAAUUUAUUUUCCAUGUAACAAGAAGAGCCUUGACUACAGUACAUCAGUUAAUGAGAGACAUUUUCCAAAGCUUGGCAGAACAGAGUCAUCAGGUUUCUAGAUCCUCGGGGAGUAAGAUCAGAAUCUACAGUGACCCUGUGAAUUGGGAGGAGAGAUGGAAGCAUGGACAGUGCAAGGUAGUGUGAUUAUGCAGGGGAAAUAAAAACAACCUUUGAAAAACAACGGGAAGGCGAUGGGCUACGUGAAAUAUGUCAUGUGGUAGUGCAUGUAGUUGUAAUGAGCAGUAAUGGCAGAAUAGAGACUGCAUCUGGGCCGGCCAUGUAGCCAGUUGGUUUAAAAAGCAAAAUUAGUUCAGUGAUAAGCACAGGCAGGGCAUAUUUGAUACUGGAGAAAAUGUUCCUUUUAUACUCAGCAUUGCCAACUUCAGACCAGUAAAAUGUAGUAUUUGUUAUUGCAUAUUUGCCUGUGCUACUCUUCUAAAAAAUAUGAUAUCUGUUCUCCAGCAUCUUACAGGCUAAAAGAGACAACACUCAGAUUAACUUCUACAUGAAGUCUUGAAGAUUCAAUGCAGAACUUACAAGUAAAGCAUUGUAAAUACUUUAGGAACACAUGUUCUGUUAAUUUAAAAAAGCACUUUCAAUAUGCCCUAUGUUUUUAAUAGCAAUCAAUGUUCUUAAUCAGAACCAAUAUCUCCUAUGUUGUUAAGACUUUGGAGGCAGAGCUGAGUUCAGAGGCUGCCUGUGCUGUCCACCUGUUGGGGCCCAUGGACAAGCUGCUUAGCCACUUGGAGUCAUAGUUUUCGAUUUGAAUAAUAGCAAUGAUAACCAUCCUGCAGGGUUGCCAUCUUUGUACUAGACAUAGGAAAUUUAGUUUGCUACAGUAUUGCCACUUGAUAUGGUUUGGUUCUGUGUUCCCAUCCAAAUCUUACCUUGAAUUGUAA
Molecule: non-coding RNA, 3290 nt
Organism: Chlorocebus sabaeus (green monkey)
Lineage: Eukaryota; Metazoa; Chordata; Mammalia; Primates; Cercopithecidae
Source: RefSeq, a predicted model, not a curated record